This is a long non-coding RNA of Mauremys reevesii (Reeves's turtle), 335 nucleotides long. RefSeq lists it as uncharacterized. The record is from RefSeq and is a predicted model, not a curated record. Lineage: Eukaryota; Metazoa; Chordata; Testudines; Geoemydidae. The transcript has 3 exons.
GUUGGAGACACAGCAACUGAAGUAAUAGUGGCACCUGCCUGGAGCAAGGAAAGGACAAAUUUGACAUAACCCAGAGUGCAUUUAGUAGAAAAUAGAGGCAGAACAGUCUCAGCUAAGGAUAUACAGCUGUAGUCUCCACCAGAGACCAGGCUGAACAGGAGACUUUCAGUCAUCUGGGCACAUUUCAAGAUUCAUCUCUUUCUGUUGUCAGUUUACUAGCAGGGCGGAGGAAAAACUGAAUGCCAAGCGUGACUUCAAUUGCAUAAUCUAUCUAUCAGUGGAGACUUCAGGCUCAUUGAAGGGAAGAACUCAGUCAUCACAGGUUAAAAGCAAGG